UCCAUGCAAGUGGAGCGAACCCAUUGAAAGCCUAGCUUUCAUGAGGUGAGCGGCGGACGGGGAGUUACACGUGGGUAACGUGCCUUAUAGAAUGGGAUAACUCGCGGAAACGCGUGCUAAUACCGGAUAACACAUCAGAGUGCAUGCUUUGGUGUUGAAAGAUGGUUCUGCUAUCAUUAUAGGAUGGGCCCGCGGCGCAUUAGCUUGUUGGUGGGGUAACGGCCUACCAAGGCGACGAUGCGUAGCCGACGUGAGAGGGUGAUCGGCCACACUGGGACUGAGACACGGCCCAGACUCUUACGGGGGGCAGCAGUAGGGAAUCUUCCACAAUGGGCGAAAGCUUGAUGGAGCAACGCCGCGUGAGCGAAGAAGGUCUUCGGAUCGUAAAGCUCUGUUGUAAGGGAAGAACAAGUGCAGUAGUAACUGGCUGCACCUUGACGGUACCUUACUAGAAAGCCACGGCUAACUACGUGCCAGCAGCCGCGGUAAUACGUAGGUGGCAAGCGUUGUCCGGAAUUAUUGGGCGUAAAGCGCGCGCAGGCGGUCUAUUAAGUAUGAUGUGAAAGCCCCCGGCUUAACCGGGGAGGGUCAUUGGAAACUGGGAGACUUGAGUGCAGGAGAGGGAAGCGGAAUUCCAUGUGUAGCGGUGAAAUGAGUAGAGAUAUGGAGGAACACCAGUGGCGAAGGCGGCUUCCUGGCCUGUAACUGACGUUGAGGCGCGAAAGCGUGGGGAGCAAACAGGAUUAGAUACCCUGGUAGUCCACGCCGUAAACGAUGAGUGUUAAGUGUUAGGGGGUUUCCACCCCUUAGUGCUGCAGCUAACGCAUUAAGCACUCCGCUUUGGGGAGUACGGUCGCAAGACUGAAACUCAAAGGAAUUGACGG
Molecule: ribosomal RNA, 884 nt
Filed under: uncultured bacterium
Lineage: Bacteria
Description: bacterial SSU rRNA
Rfam family: Bacterial small subunit ribosomal RNA
Source: RNAcentral